This is a long non-coding RNA of Zonotrichia leucophrys gambelii, 829 nucleotides long. RefSeq lists it as uncharacterized. Lineage: Eukaryota; Metazoa; Chordata; Aves; Passeriformes; Passerellidae. The record is from RefSeq and is a predicted model, not a curated record. The transcript has 6 exons.
UGUUACUCUGUAUGGGCUGAAGCUUUCUGAAGUUGUAUGGUGAUACUCUGUGUUUUGCGGCCCUCUCAUCUGUGACGUGUGCUGUGACGCUUGCUGCUGAAUGGAAACCAUUUCCAAUGAUCUGGGGACAUGAAGGAGAAGAAAACUGAAUGGCUGAAGGUUUAGCACAGGAAAAAAAAAAAAGCCAAAAAAGCCAAAGAUGGAGAGAAAAGGACCAAAAAGCAGAUUACAGUUUUGGAGUCAUCAGUAGGAGAGAACCCAGCAAACUGACAGACCUGAAAUCAUGUCCUUUGAUUGUAAUUGACAGGGAAAGCGUUUAAGGUUUUGUGUUCACACAGACUGGGAUGCUGAUAUUUUUUACAGUGCUGUACCCUACCUAUUGCCAUGAAUAGACUUGGAGAUUCCAGCUUGCACUCAUGAAGGAAAUUCCACUCUCAAGGAGGGAAGACCAUGUUAAGGGGUGGAUUUUAUACUUUGAUCUGAAGAAGCUGGGAUUCCCAGAAGAGCUCAUCUCUUUGAGGAUGGAGACACAUUGUGGGCCAUGGUGUGUGAGCUUCACAGCUGACAGAGUUAUGGGGCACAGCCAUCUUAACCAUUAAUGUAUCUCCACCCACUUCAGUGCCAAAGGAAAAGCAUAAUCUCCCAGUAUGGACAAUGCAGCAUUGCUGACAAAUAAAGCCAUCAUGAUACCUGUCCCCAGCACUAAAACAGCAAAUAAUGAAUGGGCAAAGAAGGAGCAAAUCUGAGCAUGCAUUGAAAUUCUGUGGAACACCACAAUGAUAUUCUUCCAGGAUCCAAUUCCACUUGUGAAAGCAGUCAGACCCCAUUU